Molecule: ribosomal RNA, 253 nt
Filed under: uncultured bacterium
Lineage: Bacteria
Description: partial 16S ribosomal RNA
Rfam family: Bacterial small subunit ribosomal RNA
Source: RNAcentral
GACGGGGGAUGCAAGUGUUAUCCGGAAUCACUGGGCGUAAAGCGUCUGCAGGUGGUUUCCUAAGUCCACUGUUAAACCUUGAGGCUCAACCUCAAAUCUGCAUUGGAAACUAGGAGACUUGAGUAUAGUAGGGGUAGAGGGAAUUUCCAGUGGAGCGGUGAAAUGCGUAGAUAUUGGAAAAAACACCGAUGGCGAAGGCACUCUACUGGGCUAUUACUGACACUCAGAGACGAAAGCUAGGGGAGCAAAUGGG